Elaeis guineensis (African oil palm) is the source of this 2279-nucleotide non-coding RNA. Lineage: Eukaryota; Viridiplantae; Streptophyta; Magnoliopsida; Arecales; Arecaceae. The record is from RefSeq and is a predicted model, not a curated record.
CGCUCGUCGUACCGAUAACAAGAAGAGCAGCAGCCAUCGCGUUCCUCCGUCUCUCCUCCGCGUUCCUCUCGUUGCCAUGGCCGUUUUCCGGCUCAUCGGCACGAUCAAGAAGCCGUCCGGAGACGACUUUCUCGUAGUCCGACAGGCUUUGCCGCCACCAUUGCCGGAGGAAGAUUGCGGAAAUACGUCGACUCCGAUCUAUGCGACUUGUCUUCGCCCCCGCUGAAAUAUCUGGGGCGAGAGCUCCGGCUUCCAGCCGGCCAUGAACGCCGACUAUCUCUCGGAUUAGCUCGAUUUGAGGAGAUUCCACGUCGAUUCUCCCCUAAAUUUGGUGAUUCGCUUUUUUCCGCUGGGGGUCGUGCUUUAAUUUGUUAUCUCCAUGAUACCGACCCUGUUGAUACGACACAAGAAGAUUGAAAAUUGAGGGCAUUGCAGAGACUGAGAAUCAUCCAUUUUAAAAGCCAUUGAAAAUGAAGCAGAAACUUUAUUUGAUUUAAUUGCCAAGUCAUAUCCUGGUCUGGACAUCAAAUUGUGGCUUCCUGAUGCGUCGAAUGUGAAACUUCAUGUAGAUCACCUAGUCCACCAACAGAAGCUACUGAAGGUAAAAUAGUAUUAGUGUUUAUCCUGACCUUUUCUUCACAAAUAGCUUGCUAUCUGUAGGCUCUGAAAAAUAAGCAUGCAUUACUGGUGAAAUAAUUAUAUUAAAUUUUCUUUAGUCAUCAUCUUUUGUUGUGAAAGAUAUUAAGAUAUGUAUUUUUGAUCAAUCCUGCUUUCCAUAUUUGAAUGCUGGAAGUUUAACAGCUGACAAGUUUUGAAUUACAGCAUAUCAUGCCUGCAUCUAUUAGGUUUCUUUUUCUUUUAAUUUUUUUCCCUGGCAAUAUACCAUGCUGUACCAUAUAAAGUAUUGAGAUGCAUUAAUUGAUAUCAGAAAAUAGAUGACACAGCUUUCUUCUUGGACAUUAAAAUGGCAUGCAAAUUUCUGCCAGAAUUUUUUUCUUAGAAUCUAUAUUGUUUUAUAUAUUGCUAGCUUAUGUUAUGAUGAUCUGGCAUGUUAUAAACUUCUGAGCUUCACCUUUGGUUGUCAUGUGCCAGCUGAACUCUUGAAUAUGCAUUCUCUUAUUAAGAUCACUGGAAACACAUACAGUCGUCAUACUAGCAACUAUAAAGCACAAACUAGCAUCAAAUAGCAUUGUCAGAAAGCAAAGCUUAAAUAGAAAUUACUCUUUCAAAGUAAAUCGGUCUAUGAAAUGUCAUAAUUGCAUCUACAUGUACUUUUAAUGCACAAUGAUGUGCAUCUGCUCUUGCUGGCUUGAUGGAUAUAGAUACAUGACGUCUGAGCUGCAAAGGCCUUAACAUUGUCAGUUCAUUGGUCCAAGCAUGGAAUGGUCAAAAUGCAUCAUCACAAAGUGGUCCUUUAUCAGCGAACUUCCAUGCAUUUGAGAGGGCUAAUUUUAGAAAUCAAAAUCUUAGUAAACUUGAGCAGCAAGUUGCACAGACACCGUCAAAGAGAAAUCUGCAAGCCUUUUACAAAAGUACAGUUGCCAUUUUAUUGCUUAUUUUGAGUUUUAUUAUUGAACCUGUACAUUUUUGAUAAAACUAGAACAAAAAAAGGAUGAAUAUUUUCUUUUGGUUCUUUUGUGUUUUGAUAACAUUGUUUGAUUUUUUUUAUUAACAUUUAUCAUUGAUUAUGAUAUAAUUUGUACUACUAUGUUGUUAAAUAUACAGAGGCAUGUAACUUGUGUUAUGUGAAGUAUGGUACUGAAAUGCUGUCUACAAUCACAUUUGAAGAGCACCUAUGUCGUCAUAUCUUCUAGAAUGGUAUAAUUUUUGAUUGGAAAAAGCAGCAUUAUCUUUCUUAAUAUUUGUGGCUUCAAUUAUGUAUGUUAUUGCUGUUACAUGUAGGUAAUCAAUGUUGAAUUCCAAUGUUUAAACAUGUUAUUUUAUUGCUGUCUAUAAAUCAACUUGUCUUGGAGUAUGCAGGGCUUCUCACUAGAGGAGUUUAAUCAAAAUUAUGAUGCAUUCCUCGCCAAGUUAGGCAUCAGAGACAUGGAAGAAUAGAACUUUGUGAAGCUAGCUUUUUUUCUUCUCUUGGUGGUCUAUAUGCAACUAGGUUCUAGAUUUUUUUUUUUACCAAUCAUUAAUCAGGUUAAAAGGAAGUCAUGCUUUUUUGUACUCUGUAAUAUUGAUGGUACAAACCGAGAAAUGCCUCUGUCCUUAGAUGUAAGCAGCAUGAGAUGCAUGGUUCCAGGUUGAAGUAUUUAUAAGCAUGUCACCCAUCA